This 697-nucleotide ribosomal RNA is filed under the name Phyllactinia antarctica. RNAcentral describes it as "eukaryotic LSU rRNA". It matches the Rfam family "Eukaryotic large subunit ribosomal RNA", at positions 81 to 792 of the family's 3401-position model. The record is from RNAcentral. Lineage: Eukaryota; Fungi; Ascomycota; Leotiomycetes; Helotiales; Erysiphaceae.
UAGUAACGGCGAGUGAAGCGGUAACAGCUCAAAUUUGAAAUCUGGCUCCCUGCGGAGUCCGAGUUGUAAUUUGUAGAAGAUGCUUUGGGUGCUUGGCCCGGUCUAAGUUCCUUGGAACAGGACGUCGUAGAGGGUGAGAAUCCCGUAUGCGGCCGGUGUCGGCGCCCGUGUAAAGCUCUUUCGACGAGUCGAGUUGUUUGGGAAUGCAGCUCAAAAUGGGUGGUAAAUUUCAUCUAAAGCUAAAUAUGGGCCAGAGACCGAUAGCGCACAAGUAGAGUGAUCGAAAGAUGAAAAGCACUUUGGAAAGAGAGUUAAACAGUACGUGAAAUUGUUGAAAGGGAAGCGCUUGCAACCAGACUUGGGCGUCGCUGAUCAUCCAAAGACUCUCUUUGGUGCACUCGACGACGCACAGGCCAGCAUCGGUUGGAGUGGUGGGAGAAAGGUUGCCGGAACGUGGCUCUUUUCGGAGAGUGUUAUAGCCGGCGACGCAAUACCGCCUACCCCGACCGAGGACCGCGCUUCGGCUAGGAUGCUGGCGUAAUGGUUGUAAGCGACCCGUCUUGAAACACGGACCAAGGAGUCUAACAUCUAUGCGAGUGUUUGGGUGUGAAAACCCAUGCGCGGAAUGAAAGUGAACGUAGGUGAGAACCCUUCGAGGGCGNNAUCAUCGACCGAUCCUGAGUCUUCGGAUGGAUAG